UUAACCGGCUGGACCUGUGGCCUCCCUCCUGUCGUCUCAUCUGCCUGUUUAUCUUACUUGUUCAUUUCUCUCUGCCAGUGAGAAUAGGAACAGGUCAAGCUGUGUGUGCAGUGUAUGCAAAAUGAUGUUGCUGUUUUUGUCCAAGGAGGAGUCCUGUACCUUCUGGCUUCUUGAAUGAGAAGAAAAGGCCUAUUAAGAAGAUCAUCCUUUUCGACAGAGGAAUAAUAUGAUGAAGGUGUGUGCCUGUGUCCUGCCACUUCAGUCGUGUCCUACUCUUUUCAGCUCCACGGACGGUAGCCCGCCAGGCUCCUCUGUCCAUGGGAUUUCCCGGGGAAGAAUACUGGCGCGGGUUGCUGUUUCCUCCUCCAGGGGAUCUGCCCAACCCAGGGAUCGAAACUGCAUGUCUUGCAUCUCCUGCAUUGGCAGGUGGAUUCUUGACUACCAUGCCACCUGGGAAGCCCUAAUAAAAUGACUGGUAAAAUAAGCAAAAGUGAUGCCAGGGCUGGGAGAUGAGUGGGCCGUUUACUUACGGGAGGGACCAUGGUGGAAAGUCAACUGGAAGCUGGCAAUGCUGGUUACAGAAAAGACGACUUGGAAAAGGAGUGAAAAUGAACAGAGCUGCUGACUUUGAAACCUGUUACCCUCUCUCUGAGGUUCGCUUAUGCUCAGAGGAGUUGCUG
Dama dama (fallow deer) is the source of this 680-nucleotide long non-coding RNA. RefSeq lists it as uncharacterized. The record is from RefSeq and is a predicted model, not a curated record. Lineage: Eukaryota; Metazoa; Chordata; Mammalia; Artiodactyla; Cervidae. The transcript is spliced from 4 exons.